AGUGAACGCUGGCGGUAGGCCUAACACAUGCAAGUCGAACGGCAGCACAGUAAGAGCUUGCUCUUACGGGUGGCGAGUGGCGGACGGGUGAGGCAUACAUCGGAAUCUACUUUUUCGUGGGGGAUAACGUAGGGAAACUUACGCUAAUACCGCAUACGACCUACGGGUGAAAGCAGGGGAUCUUCGGACCUUGCGCGUUUGAAUGAGCCGAUGUCGGAUUAGCUAGUUGGCGGGGUAAAGGCCCACCAAGGCGACGAUCCGUAGCUGGUCUGAGAGGAUGAUCAGCCACACUGGAACUGAGACACGGUCCAGACUCCUACGGGGGGCAGCAGUGGGGAAUAUUGGACAAUGGGCGCAAGCCUGAUCCAGCCAUACCGCGUGGGUGAAGAAGGCCUUCGGGUUGUAAAGCCCUUUUGUUGGGAAAGAAAAGCAGCAGGUUAAUACCCCGCUGUUCUGACGGUACCCAAAGAAUAAGCACCGGCUAACUUCGUG
RNAcentral lists this ribosomal RNA (492 nucleotides) under uncultured bacterium. RNAcentral describes it as "partial 16S ribosomal RNA". It matches the Rfam family "Bacterial small subunit ribosomal RNA", at positions 29 to 507 of the family's 1533-position model. The record is from RNAcentral.